Long non-coding RNA from Rattus norvegicus (Norway rat), 1806 nucleotides. RefSeq lists it as uncharacterized. NCBI's taxonomy places the organism in Eukaryota, Metazoa, Chordata, Mammalia, Rodentia, Muridae. The record is from RefSeq and is a predicted model, not a curated record.
GGACCGAACCCAGGGCCUUGUGCUUCCUAGGUAAGCGCUCUACCACUGAGCUAAAUCCCCAGCCCCAUCUCCCACCUUUCAUGUGUGAUAAGCUUUGUGACAGGAAGAGGUCGAACAGGAGAUGACACUAACAUUGUGACAGAAGUGUAGCCUCAGCUUAGGGUAAGGUCCUGCCCUGAGGAGACCUCCUUUAUUUUCUCCUCCAGCUCCCAUCUCUUCCACAGGCUCAGUUCUCACUUCUCAUAGUCUCUCAAUCUCUUCCAUGUCCUUGGGUCUGGAAUGUGUCUCCCCAUUAGGUCCUCAGGCCUUACUUAGUGCCUACCCCACAGGCUUCACUUUCUUGGCUCCAUAAUUCCUUCCCUGCUCUCAUAAUCAUUGCAUUCUCUCUCUCUCUCUCUCUCUCUCUCUCUCUCUCUCUCUCUCUCUCUCUCUCUCUCUGUGUGUGUGUGUAAGGGUGUGUGAUAUGUGUGUGUGAGAGAGAAUGUGUGUGGUGUUUGAGGGUGUUCAUGUGUGUGUGUAAAGGGUGUGUGUUAUGGUAUGUGUGAAGUGUGUGUGUGAUGUAUGUGUGAAGUGUGUGUGUGAUGUAUGUGGUGUGUGUAUGUGUGUGUGUGUAUGAGAGAGAGAGACAGAGAGACAGAGAGAGACAGAGAGAGAGACAGAGAGAUAAUGUGUGGUAUGUGUAUGUAUGUGAGGGUGUUCAUGUGUGUGUGUGUGUGUGGUAUAUGUGUGUCUGAGAGAAAGUGUGAUGUGUGUAUGUGUGUAAGGAUGUUCAUGUGUGUCUGUGUGUGGUGUGUGUAUAUACAGGUGUGAAUGUGUGUCUAAGAGUGUGUUGUGUAUGUGUAUGAGGAUCUGAGCCUGUAUCUGUGUGUGUGUGUGUGUGUGUGUGUGUGUGUGUGUGUAUGUGAAUGCCUGUGCACUGUGUCAGAGAUUGAACCAGGGUUACUGAUCCUGAGAGGUUGCCAACAACCUUUCAUAGUCUAACUAAUAAGCUGUUAUCAUUGCCAGUGGCUCUUACCCUACUUGGCAGUGCUGUGUCUGUAUUUUGGGUCCAUGAGAGGCAAGAUUCUGCUUAUUCAUUCUACGCUAUUUUCCCAGGGCCUGGAGGACGCCUGGCACGCCAUUGGUACUCACUAAGCAUCACCUGAAUGAGCAACGGAGGAUAAAUCUUGGAGCUGUUUGCUCCACAUUGAAACAUUACCUGAGCCGAAGAGGGGAUUGAGUAAGACUGAAACCUAGCGACACUCACAAGGCUCAGGAAGCUGAGAAAGCAAACCCUAGUAAAGGCACAUGACUGCAGGUGCCAUGUGAAUAGAAAAAAAACAUCUGCCUGAGGACUAGGGCAAAGGUGAGCCAAGAGCUCCAUGCUCCAAUAUGGCCACAGCCCUGAUCACAGAGAGAACAUCCUCCUCAUCCUCCUGGAUCUUCAGAACUUUGGACUCUUUGGUGAGCUUGUUUAGAUGACGAUGUGCCCAGCCUGUCCCGAAAUGAAGAUGUUCUGCAGACAUGGAUCUCUCCUCUCUCUGCUUGUCAGAGUAUUUAAACACUGGAUCCUGAGAAGUAGAAAUUCCCUAGGCCCCUCAUGCUGAGAGAAGAAAAAGAUGCCCACCAGAGUGGGGCAACUCGUUUCCCAGGAAAGAGAUUUACAACUUGUUAGACUACCUUAUUGGAUGAGGCUGGACCCCAGAGGUUGAUGAGUCAAUGGUGGACGGUACUACACACUUCUUUGGACUGCUUAGAUGUGCAUAGUUCAGCCCUCGAUUAAAUUCCGACCUCACUUCAGGACUUCAGGGGAAGGGGGUCAUCGUA